RNAcentral lists this ribosomal RNA (497 nucleotides) under uncultured bacterium. Its description in RNAcentral is "partial 16S ribosomal RNA". It matches the Rfam family "Bacterial small subunit ribosomal RNA", at positions 28 to 507 of the family's 1533-position model. The record is from RNAcentral.
GAUGAACGCUGGCGGCGUGCCUAAUACAUGCAAGUCGAGCGAACAGACGAGGAGCUUGCUCCUCUGACGUUAGCGGCGGACGGGUGAGUAACACGUGGAUAACCUACCUAUAAGACUGGGAUAACUUCGGGAAACCGGAGCUAAUACCGGAUAAUAUAUUGAACCGCAUGGUUCAAUAGUGAAAGACGGUUUUGCUGUCACUUAUAGAUGGAUCCGCGCCGCAUUAGCUAGUUGGUAAGGUAACGGCUUACCAAGGCAACGAUGCGUAGCCGACCUGAGAGGGUGAUCGGCCACACUGGAACUGAGACACGGUCCAGACUCCUACGGGAGGCAGCAGUAGGGAAUCUUCCGCAAUGGGCGAAAGCCUGACGGAGCAACGCCGCGUGAGUGAUGAAGGUCUUCGGAUCGUAAAACUCUGGUAUUAGGGAAGAACAAAUGUGUAAGUAACUAUGCACGUCUUGACGGUACCUAAUCAGAAAGCCACGGCUAACUACGUG